CUCAGUGUGUAAUUUCAAAUUCUCAGUGUGUGUUUUCAGUUUAUUUAUUCUCAGUGUGUCUUUUUUAAAUCUCAGUGUGUAAUUUUUAAUUCUCAGUGUGUAAUUUUCAAUUCUCAGUGUGUAAUUUUCAAUUCUCAGUGUGCGUUUUUCAUUUUUGUAAUCUCAGUGCGUCUUUAUGAAAUCUCAGUGUGUAAUUUUUAAUUCUCAGUGUGUAAUUUUCAAUUCUCAGUGUGCGUUUUGAAGUUUUUAAAUCUCAGUGUGCUUUGUUGUAAUUCUCAGUGUGUAAAUUUUUCGAAAAAAUGGUUUAAACAUAGUUUUGACGAGAACGGCUUGCCAUA
RNAcentral lists this long non-coding RNA (338 nucleotides) under Mytilus galloprovincialis (Mediterranean mussel). The record is from RNAcentral. Lineage: Eukaryota; Metazoa; Mollusca; Bivalvia; Mytilida; Mytilidae.